AAAUCUUCCGGCUCAACCGGAAAACUGCCGCUAAAACUCCAAAACUAGAGACCGGGAGAGGUCAGCGGAAUUGCCGGUGUAGGGGUAAAAUCCGUUAAUAUCGGCAAGAACACCAAAUGCGCAAGCAGCUGACUGGAACGGUUCUGACGCUAAGGUACGAAAGCGCGGGGAGCGAAUGGGAUUAGAUACCCCAGUAGUCCGCGCCGUAAACGAUGGAUGCUAAGCAUUGGCAGUAUCGACCCUGCCAGUGCUGUCUACCUAAGUUAACACCUUAAGCAUCCCGCCUGGGGAGUACGGCCGCAAGGCUAAAACUCAAAGGAAUUGACGGGAACCCGCACAAGCGGUGGAGCAUGUGGUUCAAUUCGACGGUAAGCGAGGAACCUUACCAGGGCUUGACAUCCAGCUGCAAAUCCGAUGAAAGUCGGACUCCUUCGAGGGUGCUGGACAGGUGCUGCAUGGCUGUCGUCAGCUCGUGUCGUGAGAUGUACCGUUAAGUCGGGAAACGAGCGCAACCCCUAUGCUAUGUUAAUUUUAUC
This 536-nucleotide ribosomal RNA is filed under the name uncultured bacterium. RNAcentral describes it as "bacterial SSU rRNA". It matches the Rfam family "Bacterial small subunit ribosomal RNA", at positions 597 to 1125 of the family's 1533-position model. The record is from RNAcentral.